ACNUGCAGUCGAGCGGACAGAAGGGAGCUUGCUCCCGGAUGUUAGCGGCGGACGGGUGAGUAACACGUGGGUAACCUGCCUGUAAGACUGGGAUAACUCCGGGAAACCGGAGCUAAUACCGGAUAGUUCCUUGAACCGCAUGGUUCAAGGAUGAAAGACGGUUUCGGCUGUCACUUACAGAUGGACCCGCGGCGCAUUAGCUAGUUGGUGAGGUAACGGCUCACCAAGGCGACGAUGCGUAGCCGACCUGAGAGGGUGAUCGGCCACACUGGGACUGAGACACGGCCCAGACUCCUACGGGAGGCAGCAGUAGGGAAUCUUCCGCAAUGGACGAAAGUCUGACGGAGCAACGCCGCGUGAGUGAUGAAGGUUUUCGGAUCGUAAAGCUCUGUUGUUAGGGAAGAACAAGUGCAAGAGUAACUGCUUGCACCUUGACGGUACCUAACCAGAAAGCCACGGCUAACUACGUGCCAGCAGCCGCGGUAAUACGUAGGUGGCAAGCGUUGUCCGGAAUUAUUGGGCGUAAAGGGCUCGCAGGCGGUUUCUUAAGUCUGAUGUGAAAGCCCCCGGCUCAACCGGGGAGGGUCAUUGGAAACUGGGAAACUUGAGUGCAGAAGAGGANAGUGGAAUUCCACGUGUAGCGGUGAAAUGCNUAGAGAUGUGGAGGAACACCANUGGNNNAAGGCGACUCUCUGGNCUGUAACUGACNCU
This 711-nucleotide ribosomal RNA is filed under the name Bacillus sp. (in: firmicutes). RNAcentral's name for it is "bacterial SSU rRNA". It matches the Rfam family "Bacterial small subunit ribosomal RNA", at positions 53 to 747 of the family's 1533-position model. The record is from RNAcentral. Lineage: Bacteria; Bacillati; Bacillota; Bacilli; Caryophanales; Bacillaceae.